RNAcentral lists this ribosomal RNA (880 nucleotides) under uncultured bacterium. Its description in RNAcentral is "bacterial SSU rRNA". It matches the Rfam family "Bacterial small subunit ribosomal RNA", at positions 11 to 916 of the family's 1533-position model. The record is from RNAcentral.
GUUUGAUCAUGGCUCAGGAUGAACGCUAGCGGCGCGCUUAAUGCAUGCAAGUCGAGCGAUGAGGCACCUUCGGGUGCCAUCAGCGGCAGACGGGUGAGUAACACGUAGGUGACCUGCCCUGGAGAUGGGGAUAACGGAUGGAAACAUGCGCUAAUACCCAAUACCCUUACGGCGUCAAAGCGGUAAGGAAAGCUACGGUGCUUCAGGAGGGACCUGCGGCCUAUCAGCUAGUUGGUGAGGUAACGGCCCACCAAGGCGACGACGGGUAGGGGGUGUGAGAGCACGACCCCCCACAAUGGGACUGAGAGACGGCCCAUACUCCUACGGGAGGCAGCAGCAGGGAAUAUUGCACAAUGGACGGAAGUCUGAUGCAGCGACGCCGCGUGGAUGAUGAAGGCCUUCGGGUUGUAAAAUCCUUUUCAGGGGGAAGAGAACAGGACGGUACCCCUGGAAUAAGCGUCGGCUAACUACGUGCCAGCAGCCGCGGUAAGACGUAGGACGCGAGCGUUAUCCGGAUUUACUGGGCGUAAAGCGUCUGUAGGCGGAACAGUAAGUUGGGCGUGAAAGCUCCGGGCUUAACUCGGAGAGGACGUACAAGACUGCUGAACUAGAGGCCACCAGAGGGGCGUGGAAUUUCCGGUGUAGCGGUAAAAUGCGCAGAUAUCGGAAGGAACACCAGUGGCGAAGGCGACGCCCUGAGGUGGGCCUGACGCUAAGAGACGAAGGCUAGGGGAGCGAACAGGAUUAGAGACCCUGGUAGUCCUAGCCGUAAACGAUGGAUGCUAGGUGUGGGGCCGACAGGCUCCGUGCCGAAGCCAACGCGAUAAGCAUCCCGCCUGGGGAGUACGGCCGCAAGGCUAAAACUCAAAUGAAUUGACGG